AUUGCUUCUCAGCCUUUUGGCUAAGAUCAAGUGUAAUAUUUGUUCUUACCAGAAUCUCCAUUUUAACAAGAACCCAGGGAAGUCUAGGAAUCACUACUCUAGGGUCUGCUUUAGGGCUU
This 119-nucleotide small nuclear RNA is filed under the name Canis lupus dingo (dingo). RNAcentral's name for it is "U2 spliceosomal RNA (ENSCAFG00020000164.1)". The stretch from base 1 to 77 matches the Rfam family "U2 spliceosomal RNA". From Rfam's summary of the family: U2 is a small nuclear RNA (snRNA) component of the spliceosome (involved in pre-mRNA splicing). Complementary binding between U2 snRNA (in an area lying towards the 5' end but 3' to hairpin I) and the branchpoint sequence (BPS) of the intron results the bulging out of an unpaired adenosine, on the BPS, which initiates a nucleophilic attack at the intronic 5' splice site, thus starting the first of two transesterification reactions that mediate splicing. The record is from RNAcentral. Lineage: Eukaryota; Metazoa; Chordata; Mammalia; Carnivora; Canidae.